CGGUGCAGAUUUGAGGACAGAUGAAGUGAACGUGUGCGUCCAUCGCGCCCGCGGUGAAGAUGUGACCCUCCCCAGCAAGCGCCUCCGUCGUCGGGCCCACAACCAUCCCGGGAGUAACACCCGCCAUGACGUCGGGGUUUCCUGCCUUUCCAAUCCCCACAAUGAACCCUGUGGCAGCGUAAGGGGCUCUGUCAGGCACGAACUCACGCAACCCGGUUCGCGCAGCACACACCUUUCUUAAUCCCAAUAUCCGCCUUGAAGAUCCCCGUCCAGUCGACCACGAGCGCGUUCGUGAUGACCAGGUCGAGCGCCUCGGCGUCCGUCACGCCGGCCGCCUGGCCCAUCCCGUCGCGCAG
Molecule: small RNA, 356 nt
Filed under: Gonapodya prolifera JEL478
Lineage: Eukaryota; Fungi; Monoblepharomycota; Monoblepharidomycetes; Monoblepharidales; Gonapodyaceae
Description: 5' ureB small RNA
Rfam family: 5' ureB small RNA
Source: Rfam by way of RNAcentral